CUGGCGGCAGUAGCGCGGUGGUCCCACCUGACCCCAUGCCGAACUCAGAAGUGAAACGCCGUAGCGCCGAUGGUAGUGUGGGGCCUCCCCAUGCGAGAGUAGGGAACUGCCAGAC
Molecule: ribosomal RNA, 115 nt
Filed under: Salmonella enterica subsp. enterica serovar Schwarzengrund
Lineage: Bacteria; Pseudomonadati; Pseudomonadota; Gammaproteobacteria; Enterobacterales; Enterobacteriaceae
Source: RNAcentral